ACAGGAAUCUGUGAACCGUGUCAGGUCGGGAACGGAGCAGCACUAAGCAGAACCUCUUGUGUGACGCAAGGGUGCCUGGGCCGAGUUAACUGUCAGGGUAACGCCUGUGGUAUGCGUUCGAAGGGCGGCGCACGG
This 135-nucleotide signal recognition particle RNA is filed under the name Lachnospiraceae bacterium. RNAcentral's name for it is "partial signal recognition particle sRNA large type". It matches the Rfam family "Bacterial large signal recognition particle RNA", at positions 128 to 256 of the family's 256-position model. From Rfam's summary of the family: The signal recognition particle (SRP) is a universally conserved ribonucleoprotein involved in the co-translational targeting of proteins to membranes. Archaeal SRP consists of a 7S RNA and homologues of the eukaryotic SRP19 and SRP54 proteins. The record is from RNAcentral. Lineage: Bacteria; Bacillati; Bacillota; Clostridia; Lachnospirales; Lachnospiraceae.